GACGAACGCUGGCGGCGUGCUUAACACAUGCAAGUCGAACGGAAAGGCCCUGCUUUUGUGGGGUGCUCGAGUGGCGAACGGGUGAGUAACACGUGAGUAACCUGCCCUUGACUUUGGGAUAACUUCAGGAAACUGGGGCUAAUACCGGAUAGGAGCUCCUGCUGCAUGGUGGGGGUUGGAAAGUUUCGGCGGUUGGGGAUGGACUCGCGGCUUAUCAGCUUGUUGGUGGGGUAGUGGCUUACCAAGGCUUUGACGGGUAGCCGGCCUGAGAGGGUGACCGGCCACAUUGGGACUGAGAUACGACCCAGACUCCUACAGGAGGCAGCAGUGUAGAAUAUUACACAAUGGGCGGAAGCCUGAUGCAGCAACGCCGCGUGCGGGAUGACGGCCUUCGGGUUGUAAACCGCUUUCGCCUGUGACGAAGCGUGAGUGACGGUAAUGGGUAAAGAAGCACCGGCUAACUACGUG
This 468-nucleotide ribosomal RNA is filed under the name uncultured bacterium. RNAcentral describes it as "partial 16S ribosomal RNA". It matches the Rfam family "Bacterial small subunit ribosomal RNA", at positions 28 to 507 of the family's 1533-position model. The record is from RNAcentral.